AGUAUACUUAAUGGAGAAGGUGCAGACUCAGAUCGCCUGGGUUUGCUUAAAAGGGAAGUCCGGUUCAAAAUCCGGCGCGGUCCCGCCACUGUAGAUGCGGAGCGACUUUUCAAAGGCCACUGUUCCUAUAAAGGAUUCGGGAAGGCGGAAAGAAGCGAUGAGGCAUGAGCCAGGAAACCUGCCUUCUUCAAGGUGUUCCC
Molecule: non-coding RNA, 200 nt
Filed under: Bacillus sp. (in: firmicutes)
Lineage: Bacteria; Bacillati; Bacillota; Bacilli; Caryophanales; Bacillaceae
Source: RNAcentral